RNAcentral lists this ribosomal RNA (547 nucleotides) under uncultured archaeon. RNAcentral describes it as "bacterial SSU rRNA". It matches the Rfam family "Archaeal small subunit ribosomal RNA", at positions 312 to 859 of the family's 1478-position model. The record is from RNAcentral.
GAAUCCAGGCCCUACGGGGUGCAGCAGGCGCGAAAACUUUACAAUGCUGGAAACAGCGAUAAGGGGACCUCGAGUGCCAGGAUACAAUCCUGGCUGUCGUAAUGCCUAAAAAGCAUUGCAUAGCAAGGGCCGGGCAAGACCGGUGCCAGCCGCCGCGGUAACACCGGCGGCUCGAGUGGUAACCGCUAUUAUUGGGUCUAAAGGGUCUGUAGCCGGCUGACUAAGUCUCUUGGGAAAUCUGACAGCUUAACUGUCAGGCUUUCAGGAGAUACUGAUCGGCUCGAGACCGGGAGAGGUGAGAGGUACCUCAGGGGUAGGGGUGAAAUCUUGUAAUCCUUGAGGGACCACCAGUGGCGAAGGCGUCUCACCAGAACGGAUCUGACGGCAAGGGACGAAAGCUAGGGGCACGAACCGGAUUAGAUACCCGGGUAGUCCUAGCCGUAAACGAUACUCGCUAGGUGUCGGCCACGGUGCGACCGUGGUCGGUGCCGUAGGGAAGCCGUGAAGCGAGCCACCUGGGAAGUACGGCCGCAAGGCUGAAACUUAA